AUGGUGUCACAAAAUCGGGCGCACCGACUGUUUACUAAAAACACAGAUAACUGCUAAUAUUAGAUAUAUUUGUAUAGUUGUCGAAUUUUGCCCAAUGCCAUUAAUAUAAACAAGGUGAGUUAUUUUUACCAAGUGAAAAUCUGGUCAAUGGCGGUCUUAACCAUAAGGAUCCAAAGGUAGCAAAAUUCAUUGUCCGCUAAAUACGGUCCUGCAUGAAUAAAGUAACGAUUGCGCCACUGUCUCUACAAGUAUCUCAGUGAAAUUGAAUUAGCCGUGAAGAUGCGGUUUGUCUAUGGUC
This 298-nucleotide ribosomal RNA is filed under the name Clavulina cristata. RNAcentral describes it as "partial large subunit ribosomal RNA". It matches the Rfam family "Bacterial large subunit ribosomal RNA", at positions 1773 to 2077 of the family's 2925-position model. The record is from RNAcentral. Lineage: Eukaryota; Fungi; Basidiomycota; Agaricomycetes; Cantharellales; Hydnaceae.